GGGGCUAUAGUAUAACGGGAGAACGCAUCGUUCGCAACGAUGAGGUGCGGGUUCAAUUCCCGCUAGCUCCA
Molecule: transfer RNA, 71 nt
Filed under: Candidatus Ectomicrobium neotermitis
Lineage: Bacteria; Pseudomonadati; Elusimicrobiota; Endomicrobiia; Endomicrobiales; Endomicrobiaceae
Description: tRNA-Ala
Rfam family: tRNA
About the family: Transfer RNA (tRNA) molecules are approximately 80 nucleotides in length. Their secondary structure includes four short double-helical elements and three loops (D, anti-codon, and T loops). Further hydrogen bonds mediate the characteristic L-shaped molecular structure. tRNAs have two regions of fundamental functional importance: the anti-codon, which is responsible for specific mRNA codon recognition, and the 3' end, to which the tRNAs corresponding amino acid is attached (by aminoacyl-tRNA synthetases). tRNAs cope with the degeneracy of the genetic code in two manners: having more than one tRNA (with a specific anti-codon) for a particular amino acid; and 'wobble' base-pairing, i.e. permitting non-standard base-pairing at the 3rd anti-codon position.
Source: RNAcentral